GCGUGGAGACAGGUGGUGCAUGGCCGUCGUCAGCUCGUGUCGUGAGAUGUUGGGUUAAGUCCCGCAACGAGCGCAACCCUCACCCCUAGUUGCCACCGGGUAAAGCCGAGCACUCGAGGGGAACUGCCAGCGUCAAGCUGGAGGAAGGCGGGGAUGACGUCAAGUCAUCAUGCCUCUUACGCCCUGGGCUACACACGUGCUACAAUGGCCGGUACAAAGGGGCGCGAGACUGCAAAGUGGAGCUAAUCCCAAAAAACCGGUCUAAGUUCAGAUUGCAGUCUGCAACUCGACUGCAUGGAGGAGGAAUCGCUAGUAAUCGCGCAUCAGCACGGCGCGGUGAAUACGUUCCCGGGCCUUGUACACACCGCCCGUCACACCACGAAAGCUGUCUGUACUCGAAGUCGCUGAG
RNAcentral lists this ribosomal RNA (409 nucleotides) under uncultured Methylomirabilota bacterium. Its description in RNAcentral is "bacterial SSU rRNA". It matches the Rfam family "Bacterial small subunit ribosomal RNA", at positions 1026 to 1434 of the family's 1533-position model. Lineage: Bacteria; Methylomirabilota (SeqCode). The record is from RNAcentral.